Molecule: ribosomal RNA, 407 nt
Filed under: uncultured rumen bacterium
Lineage: Bacteria
Description: bacterial SSU rRNA
Rfam family: Bacterial small subunit ribosomal RNA
Source: RNAcentral
CAGCAGCCGCGGUAAUACGUAGGGUGCGAGCGUUAAUCGGAAUUACUGGGCGUAAAGCGUGCGCAGGCGGCUUUGCAAGACGGAGGUGAAAUCCCCGGGCUCAACCUGGGAACUGCCUUUGUGACUGCAAGGCUAGAGUACGGCAGAGGGGGAUGGAAUUCCGCGUGUAGCAGUGAAAUGCGUAGAUAUGCGGAGGAACACCGAUGGCGAAGGCAAUCCCCUGGGCCUGUACUGACACUCAUGCACGAAAGCGUGGGGAGCAAACAGGAUUAGAUACCCUGGUAGUCCACGCCCUAAACGAUGUCAACUGGUUGUUGGACGGCUUGCUGUUCAGUAACGAAGCUAACGCGUGAAGUUGACCGCCUGGGGAGUACGGCCGCAAGGUUGAAACUCAAAGAAAUUGACGG